RNAcentral lists this ribosomal RNA (404 nucleotides) under Fusobacteriota bacterium. Its description in RNAcentral is "Fusobacteria bacterium partial 16S ribosomal RNA". It matches the Rfam family "Bacterial small subunit ribosomal RNA", at positions 355 to 776 of the family's 1533-position model. Lineage: Bacteria; Fusobacteriati; Fusobacteriota. The record is from RNAcentral.
UGGGGAAUAUUGCACAAUGGAGGGAACUCUGAUGCAGCGACGCCGCGUGAGUGAUGAAGGAAUUCGUUUCGUAAAACUCUGUUCUAUGGGAAGAAAAGGACUGUACCAUAGGAGAAAGCUCCGGCUAAAUACGUGCCAGCAGCCGCGGUAAUACGUAUGGAGCGAGCGUUGUCCGGAAUUAUUGGGCGUAAAGGGUGCGCAGGCGGCUUUACAAGUUGGAUGUGAAAUAUUGUGGCUCAACAACAAACGUGCAUCCAAAACUGCAAAGCUUGAGUUAAGGAGCAGUAAGUGGAAUUCCUGGUGUAGCGGUGGAAAGAGUAGAUAUCAGGAGGAAUACCGGUGGCGAAGGAGACUUACUGAACUUAAACUGACGCUCAGGCACGAAAGCGUGGGGAGCAAACAGG